AACAAAUCAAAAACAAAAAUUGUCUCCUCUCAUACAUAAACAGUUAUAAUAUUCUUUACUUUGUUUUUAUUUGACUCAUUGAUGAUUGCCUCUCACAGCAUCCCCAUUCAGAGCCAAUGAGAGGAGGGGGAUGAUGAGAUAAAAUUCCCUGAGCUGGGAUUCACAGGGGCUUGGAUAUCAUCUCACAAUUUAUUUUUUAUGUGCUGAUUAACUAUACAAGAAUAGUGCCGAAAAUUAAUCUGAAGUGGAGUAAUAAAUUUCCCCAAACUUAUAACUUUAAAAUUACUUGGGGCUAGUGCCAUCUUAACACAUGGGCCUGAUGGGCAUUUGCCUAGGGGCCCCAUAUUAAUCUAUGCAUGUCAAGUGGUUGUCAUAGGUGCCCCAGCAGAUUGGUUUGCCCAGGGGCCCGUAAUGCUGUUAAGACAGCCCUGCUUAGGGAACAUAUUAAUUUUUUCCCCUGGGCCUGGCAAUGUCUAUGUCUCUUGCCACCCCUGUUCCCAAUAUCACACUUCCAAAAGUAUAAUAAACUUGGCAAAAAAAGCACAGGAAAGGAGUGGCAGCAGCAAAACAAUAAAAAUGCCAUGCCUCUUUUAAUGCCAGAUCUUUGUUUACAUCAAUAUUUUCU
This 625-nucleotide long non-coding RNA is filed under the name Androctonus crassicauda. The record is from RNAcentral. Lineage: Eukaryota; Metazoa; Arthropoda; Arachnida; Scorpiones; Buthidae.